This 2891-nucleotide ribosomal RNA is filed under the name Vibrio parahaemolyticus. Its description in RNAcentral is "23S ribosomal RNA". It matches the Rfam family "Bacterial large subunit ribosomal RNA". The record is from RNAcentral. Lineage: Bacteria; Pseudomonadati; Pseudomonadota; Gammaproteobacteria; Vibrionales; Vibrionaceae.
GGUUAAGUGACUAAGCGUACACGGUGGAUGCCUUGGCAGUCAGAGGCGAUGAAAGACGUAGUAACUUGCGAUAAGCCCAGAUUAGGUAGUAACAACCAUUUGAGUCUGGGAUUUCUGAAUGGGGAAACCCACGUGCAUAAGCACGUAUCCUUACCUGAAUACAUAGGGUAAGGAGGCGAACCGGGGGAACUGAAACAUCUAAGUACCCCGAGGAAAAGAAAUCAACCGAGAUUCCGAAAGUAGCGGCGAGCGAAAUUGGACUAGCCCUUAAGCUUUACACGCGUUAGACGAACGGUCUGGAAAGUCCGACGAUACAGGGUGAUAGUCCCGUAGUUGACGACGUGUGUUCAGUGAAAUCGAGUAGGGCGGGACACGUGAUAUCCUGUCUGAAUAUGGGGGGACCAUCCUCCAAGGCUAAAUACUACUGACUGACCGAUAGUGAACCAGUACCGUGAGGGAAAGGCGAAAAGAACCCCUGUGAGGGGAGUGAAAUAGAACCUGAAACCGUGUACGUACAAGCAGUAGGAGCAGGCUUUGUCCUGUGACUGCGUACCUUUUGUAUAAUGGGUCAGCGACUUAUAUUCAGUGGCAAGGUUAACCAUCUAGGGGAGCCGUAGGGAAACCGAGUCUUAACUGGGCGUUCAGUCUCUGGAUAUAGACCCGAAACCAGGUGAUCUAGCCAUGGGCAGGUUGAAGGUUGAGUAACAUCAACUGGAGGACCGAACCGACUAAUGUUGAAAAAUUAGCGGAUGACUUGUGGCUAGGGGUGAAAGGCCAAUCAAACCUGGAGAUAGCUGGUUCUCCCCGAAAGCUAUUUAGGUAGCGCCUCGGACGAAUACUACUGGGGGUAGAGCACUGUUAAGGCUAGGGGGUCAUCCCGACUUACCAACCCUUUGCAAACUCCGAAUACCAGUAAGUACUAUCCGGGAGACACACGGCGGGUGCUAACGUCCGUCGUGGAGAGGGAAACAACCCAGACCGCCAGCUAAGGUCCCAAAUUACUACUAAGUGGGAAACGAUGUGGGAAGGCUCAGACAGCCAGGAUGUUGGCUUAGAAGCAGCCAUCAUUUAAAGAAAGCGUAAUAGCUCACUGGUCGAGUCGGCCUGCGCGGAAGAUGUAACGGGGCUAAGUAGUAAACCGAAGCUGCGGCAAUGUGCUUUUGCACAUUGGGUAGGGGAGCGUUCUGUAAGCGGUUGAAGGUGUGUGGUAACGCAUGCUGGACGUAUCAGAAGUGCGAAUGCUGACAUGAGUAACGAUAAAGGGGGUGAAAAACCUCCUCGCCGGAAGACCAAGGGUUCCUGUCCAACGUUAAUCGGGGCAGGGUAAGUCGACCCCUAAGGCGAGGCCGAAAGGCGUAGUCGAUGGGAAACGGGUUAAUAUUCCCGUACUUCUUACAAUUGCGAUGGGGGGACGGAGAAGGCUAGGUGGGCCUGGCGACGGUUGUCCAGGUUCAAGUGCGUAGGCUUAAGAGUUAGGUAAAUCCGGCUCUUUUUAAGGCUGAGACACGACGUCGAGCACCUACGGGUGUGAAGUCAUUGAUGCCAUGCUUCCAGGAAAAGCCUCUAAGCUUCAGAUUGUAAGGAAUCGUACCCCAAACCGACACAGGUGGUCGGGUAGAGAAUACCAAGGCGCUUGAGAGAACUCGGGUGAAGGAACUAGGCAAAAUGGUACCGUAACUUCGGGAGAAGGUACGCUCUUGAUGGUGAAGUCCCUUGCGGAUGGAGCUGACGAGAGUCGCAGAUACCAGGUGGCUGCAACUGUUUAUUAAAAACACAGCACUGUGCAAAAUCGUAAGAUGACGUAUACGGUGUGACGCCUGCCCGGUGCCGGAAGGUUAAUUGAUGGGGUUAGACUUCGGUCGAAGCUCUUGAUCGAAGCCCCGGUAAACGGCGGCCGUAACUAUAACGGUCCUAAGGUAGCGAAAUUCCUUGUCGGGUAAGUUCCGACCUGCACGAAUGGCGUAAUGAUGGCCACGCUGUCUCCACCCGAGACUCAGUGAAAUUGAAAUCGCUGUGAAGAUGCAGUGUACCCGCGGCUAGACGGAAAGACCCCGUGAACCUUUACUACAGCUUGGCACUGAACAUUGACCCUACAUGUGUAGGAUAGGUGGGAGGCUUUGAAGCAGGUACGCCAGUAUCUGUGGAGCCGUCCUUGAAAUACCACCCUUGUAGUGUUGAUGUUCUAACGUCGACCCCUUAUCGGGGUUGCGGACAGUGCCUGGUGGGUAGUUUGACUGGGGCGGUCUCCUCCCAAAGAGUAACGGAGGAGCACGAAGGUGGGCUAAUCACGGUUGGACAUCGUGAGGUUAGUGCAAUGGCAUAAGCCCGCUUGACUGCGAGAAUGACAAUUCGAGCAGGUGCGAAAGCAGGUCAUAGUGAUCCGGUGGUUCUGAAUGGAAGGGCCAUCGCUCAACGGAUAAAAGGUACUCCGGGGAUAACAGGCUGAUACCGCCCAAGAGUUCAUAUCGACGGCGGUGUUUGGCACCUCGAUGUCGGCUCAUCACAUCCUGGGGCUGAAGUCGGUCCCAAGGGUAUGGCUGUUCGCCAUUUAAAGUGGUACGCGAGCUGGGUUUAGAACGUCGUGAGACAGUUCGGUCCCUAUCUGCCGUGGGCGUUGGAAGAUUGAAGGGGGCUGCUCCUAGUACGAGAGGACCGGAGUGGACGAACCUCUGGUGUUCGGGUUGUGUCGCCAGACGCAUUGCCCGGUAGCUAAGUUCGGAAUCGAUAACCGCUGAAAGCAUCUAAGCGGGAAGCGAGCCCUGAGAUGAGUCUUCCCUGAUACUUUAAGUAUCCUAAAGGGUUGUCGGAGACUACGACGUUGAUAGGUCAGGUGUGUAAGUGCUGUGAGGCAUUGAGCUAACUGAUACUAAUUGCCCGUGAGGCUUAACCAU